GCCCUGGUAGCAUAACGGUUAAGCACUCAGCUGCUAACUGAAAGGCUGGUGGUUCAAACCCACCCAGUGGCU
RNAcentral lists this transfer RNA (72 nucleotides) under Loxodonta africana (African savanna elephant). It matches the Rfam family "tRNA". From Rfam's summary of the family: Transfer RNA (tRNA) molecules are approximately 80 nucleotides in length. Their secondary structure includes four short double-helical elements and three loops (D, anti-codon, and T loops). The record is from Rfam by way of RNAcentral. Lineage: Eukaryota; Metazoa; Chordata; Mammalia; Proboscidea; Elephantidae.